RNAcentral lists this ribosomal RNA (403 nucleotides) under uncultured bacterium. RNAcentral's name for it is "bacterial SSU rRNA". It matches the Rfam family "Bacterial small subunit ribosomal RNA", at positions 355 to 775 of the family's 1533-position model. The record is from RNAcentral.
UGGGGAAUAUUGGACAAUGGGCGAAAGCCUGAUCCAGCAAUGCCGCGUGAGUGAUGAAGGCCUUAGGGUUGUAAAGCUCUUUUACCCGGGAUGAUAAUGACAGUACCGGGAGAAUAAGCUCCGGCUAACUCCGUGCCAGCAGCCGCGGUAAUACGGAGGGAGCUAGCGUUGUUCGGAUAUACUGGGCGUAAAGCGCACGUAGGCGGCGCAGCAAGUCAGGGGUGAAAUCCCGGAGCUCAACUCCGGAACUGCCCUUGAAACUGCAGUGCUAGAAUUCUGGAGAGGCGAGUGGAAUUCCGAGUGUAGAGGUGAAAUUCGUAGAUAUUCGGAAGAACACCAGUGGCGAAGGCGACUCGCUGGACAGACAUUGACGCUGAGGUGCGAAAGCGUGGGGAGCAAACAG